UUCAGUUUCAAAAUGAAUACAAAAUUUAAAUGAAACUUAAAUUGACGGACAAAUGCAGUUUGAAGUCAGCCUCUCGACCAUUCCCUGACCAGGGAUUGAAAUCACAUGGCAGAUUUCUUAAAAUGCCGUUUGCUGGGUCCUGUAUGAGGCCUCCUUCACCAGAAUCCACAGGCUACUCCGGACUAAUCAUACCUGGGAGAAUGAAGACCUUGAACCAGCCUCCUUCAGAUUCCAUUUUCAGGACCCAGAAUAGCUUCCGGGGUAGGGCUUCUGUCUGUCAGCGUUAUGCCCUGAGGCCUCUGUUGCUUUCAGCCUGACACACUAAAUCUUCUUAGGCUGAGUCCCUGGCCACAUCAUUGUCACAAAUUUUUGCCAGAGCAGACGACCAUGACUUGCAACCAAUGAAUCUUCACAUCUCUGAUUAGAAAAGAAUAUAAACCCCU
This 443-nucleotide long non-coding RNA is filed under the name Mustela putorius furo (domestic ferret). RNAcentral's name for it is "lncRNA (ENSMPUG00000028930.1)". The record is from RNAcentral. Lineage: Eukaryota; Metazoa; Chordata; Mammalia; Carnivora; Mustelidae.